This 253-nucleotide ribosomal RNA is filed under the name uncultured bacterium. RNAcentral describes it as "partial 16S ribosomal RNA". It matches the Rfam family "Bacterial small subunit ribosomal RNA", at positions 524 to 776 of the family's 1533-position model. The record is from RNAcentral.
UACGUAGGUGGCGAGCGUUGUCCGGAUUUAUUGGGCUUAAAGCGCGCGCAGGUGGUGCGGUAAGUCCUGUGUGAAAUCUCCCGGCUCAACUGGGAGGGUGCGGAGGAGACUGCCGGACUGGAGGCACUCAGAGGCCGGUGGAAUUCCCGGUGGAGUGGUGAAAUGCGUAGAGAUCGGGAGGAACACCAGUGGCGAAGGCGGCCGGCUGGGGGUGACCUGACGCUGAGGCGCGAAAGCGUGGGGAGCGAACCGG